UACGGAGGGGGCUAGCGUUGUUCGGAAUCACUGGGCGUAAAGCGCACGUAGGCGGCUUGUUAAGUCAGGGGUGAAAUCCUGGAGCUCAACUCCAGAACUGCCCUGGAUACUGGCAAGCUGGAGUGUAGGAGAGGUUGGUGGAACUGCGAGUGUAGAGGUGAAAUUCGUAGAUAUUCGCAAGAACACCAGUGGCGAAGGCGGCCAACUGGCCUAUUACUGACGCUGAGGUGCGAAAGCGUGGGGAGCAAACAGG
RNAcentral lists this ribosomal RNA (253 nucleotides) under uncultured bacterium. Its description in RNAcentral is "partial 16S ribosomal RNA". It matches the Rfam family "Bacterial small subunit ribosomal RNA", at positions 524 to 776 of the family's 1533-position model. The record is from RNAcentral.